Molecule: non-coding RNA, 21 nt
Filed under: Arabidopsis thaliana (thale cress)
Lineage: Eukaryota; Viridiplantae; Streptophyta; Magnoliopsida; Brassicales; Brassicaceae
Source: RNAcentral
AGGGAUGUCAAAAUGGGUAAC